UACGAAGGGGGCUAGCGUUGUUCGGAAUUACUGGGCGUAAAGGGCGCGUAGGCGGUACUUCAAGUCAGGCGUGAAAGCCCCGGGCUAAACCUGGGAACCGCGCUUGAGACUGGAGAACUAGAGUUCGGGAGAGGAUGGUGGAAUUCCCAGUGUAGAGGUGAAAUUCGUGGAUAUUGGGAAGAACACCGAUGGCGAAGGCAGCCAUCUGGACCGACACUGACGCUGAGGCGCGAAAGCGUGGGGAGCAAACAGG
RNAcentral lists this ribosomal RNA (253 nucleotides) under uncultured bacterium. Its description in RNAcentral is "partial 16S ribosomal RNA". It matches the Rfam family "Bacterial small subunit ribosomal RNA", at positions 524 to 776 of the family's 1533-position model. The record is from RNAcentral.